UACGUAGGGCGCAAGCGUUGUCCGGAAUUAUUGGGCGUAAAGAGCUCGUAGGCGGUCUGUUGCGUCCGCUGUGAAAACUCGGGGCUUAACCCCGAGCCUGCAGUGGAUACGGGCAGACUAGAGGUAGGUAGGGGAGAAUGGAAUUCCCGGUGUAGCGGUGAAAUGCGCAGAUAUCGGGAAGAACACCCGUGGCGAAGGCGGCUCUCUGGGACGGUACUGACGCUGAGACGCGAAAGCGUGGGGAGCGAACAGG
RNAcentral lists this ribosomal RNA (253 nucleotides) under uncultured bacterium. RNAcentral's name for it is "partial 16S ribosomal RNA". It matches the Rfam family "Bacterial small subunit ribosomal RNA", at positions 524 to 776 of the family's 1533-position model. The record is from RNAcentral.